RNAcentral lists this ribosomal RNA (453 nucleotides) under uncultured bacterium. RNAcentral's name for it is "bacterial SSU rRNA". It matches the Rfam family "Bacterial small subunit ribosomal RNA", at positions 1 to 507 of the family's 1533-position model. The record is from RNAcentral.
AGUAGUUUGAUCCUGGCUCAGAACGAACGCUGGCGGCAUGCCUAACACAUGCAAGUCGAACGAGACCUUCGGGUCUAGUGGCGCACGGGUGCGUAACGCGUGGGAAUCUGCCCUGGGGUGCGGAAUAACUCGGAGAAAUCCGUGCUAAUACCGCAUAAUGUCUUCGGACCAAAGAUUUAUCGCCCUGGGAUGAGCCCGCGUAGGAUUAGCUAGUUGUGGGGUAAAGGCCUACCAAGGCGACGAUCCUUAGCUGGUCUGAGAGGAUGAUCAGCCACACUGGGACUGAGACACGGCCCAGACUCCUACGGGAGGCAGCAGUGGGGAAUAUUGGACAAUGGGCGAAAGCCUGAUCCAGCAAUGCCGCGUGAGUGAUGAAGGCCCUAGGGUUGUAAAGCUCUUUUACCCGGGAUGAUAAUGACAGUACCGGGAGAAUAAGCUCCGGCUAACUCCGUG